Long non-coding RNA from Sinocyclocheilus rhinocerous, 130 nucleotides. RefSeq lists it as uncharacterized. The transcript has 3 exons. The record is from RefSeq and is a predicted model, not a curated record. Lineage: Eukaryota; Metazoa; Chordata; Actinopteri; Cypriniformes; Cyprinidae.
AGUUAAGCCGGUCGGCGUGGUAGCCAAGGCUCACAUAGUCGUAGGCCACUAUUGUUAAGCCGGUCAGCGUGGUAGCCAAGGCACACAUAGUCCUAGGCCACUAGCGUUAAGCUAGUCGGUGUGGUAGCCA